CAACAGGGAUUGCCCUAGUAACGGCGAGUGAAGCGGCAUCAGCUCAAAUUUGAAAUCUGGCUCUUUCAGAGUCCGAGUUGUAAUUUGCAGAGGGCGCUUUGGCGUUGGCAGCGGUCCAAGUUCUUUGGAACAGGACGUCACAGAGGGUGAGAAUCCCGUACGUGGUCGCUAGCCUUCGCCGUGUAAAGCCCCUUCGACGAGUCGAGUUGUUUGGGAAUGCAGCUCUAAAUGGGAGGUAAAUUUCUUCUAAAGCUAAAUACUGGCCAGAGACCGAUAGCGCACAAGUAGAGUGAUCGAAAGAUGAAAAGUACUUUGGAAAGAGAGUCAAAUAGCACGUGAAAUUGUUGAAAGGGAAGCGCUUGCAGCCAGACUUGCCUGUAGUUGCUCAUCCGGACUUUUGUCCGGUGCACUCUUCUGUAGGCAGGCCAGCAUCAGUUUAGGCGGUUGGAUAAAGGUCUCUGUCAUGUACCUCUCUUCGGGGAGGCCUUAUAGGGGAGACGACAUACAACCAGCCUGGACUGAGGUCCGCGCAUCUGCUAGGAUGCUGGCGUAAUGGCUGUAAGCGGCCCGUCUUGAAACACG
Molecule: ribosomal RNA, 582 nt
Filed under: Phaeosphaeria sp. BLD1
Lineage: Eukaryota; Fungi; Ascomycota; Dothideomycetes; Pleosporales; Phaeosphaeriaceae
Description: LSU rRNA
Rfam family: Eukaryotic large subunit ribosomal RNA
Source: RNAcentral